UUGGAUCCAGACUUUGAUCCUGGCUCAGGAUGAACGCUAGCUACAGGCUUAACACAUGCAAGUCGAGGGGCAGCAUGAUUGAAGCUUGCUUCAAUUGAUGGCGACCGGCGCACGGGUGAGUAACACGUAUCCAACCUGCCGAUAACUCGGGGAUAGCCUUUCGAAAGAAAGAUUAAUACCCGAUAGUAUAGUAUUUCCGCAUGGUUUCACUAUUAAAGAAUUUCGGUUAUCGAUGGGGAUGCGUUCCAUUAGAUAGUUGGCGGGGUAACGGCCCACCAAGUCAACGAUGGAUAGGGGUUCUGAGAGGAAGGUCCCCCACAUUGGAACUGAGACACGGUCCAAACUCCUACGGGAGGCAGCAGUGAGGAAUAUUGGUCAAUGGACGAGAGUCUGAACCAGCCAAGUAGCGUGAAGGAUGACUGCCCUAUGGGUUGUAAACUUCUUUUAUACGGGAAUAAAGUGGAGUAUGCAUACUCCUUUGUAUGUACCGUAUGAAUAAGGAUCGGCUAACUCCGUGCCAGCAGCCGCGGUAAUACGGAGGAUCCGAGCGUUAUCCGGAUUUAUUGGGUUUAAAGGGAGCGUAGGCGGGUGCUUAAGUCAGUUGUGAAAGUUUGCGGCUCAACCGUAAAAUUGCAGUUGAUACUGGGCGCCUUGAGUGCAGCAUAGGUAGGCGGAAUUCGUGGUGUAGCGGUGAAAUGCUUAGAUAUCACGAAGAACUCCGAUUGCGAAGGCAGCUUACUGGACUGUAACUGACGCUGAUGCUCGAAAGUGUGGGUAUCAAACAGGAUUAGAUACCCUGGUAGUCCACACAGUAAACGAUGAAUACUCGCUGUUGGCGAUACACAGUCAGCGGCCAAGCGAAAGCAUUAAGUAUUCCACCUGGGGAGUACGCCGGCAACGGUGCAACUCAAAGGAAUUGACGGA
This 924-nucleotide ribosomal RNA is filed under the name uncultured organism. Its description in RNAcentral is "bacterial SSU rRNA". It matches the Rfam family "Bacterial small subunit ribosomal RNA", at positions 1 to 917 of the family's 1533-position model. The record is from RNAcentral.